GGGGGCGUUUUGGAUUCGACGGGGAUUGUUUGAGCAUGAAUGGCGGGUCGUGGGGCUGCGAGGCCACGUAAAAAACGCAGACCUAAAUGUAACUGGCAAAGCAAAAAGCUUUACCUCAAACAGCAAUUUAGCCCUAGCUGCUUAAUUGUAGUUAGGCCAUCACAUUGAGUGUCGCCCGUGCACACGCUGUGAUGCCAACCUAGCGGGAUAGCUGACGGUAGAUGUUCGCGGACCGCCAGCGAAAAAUCGCGAACUUACUCAUGGCGGAGCGUGUGCGUCCGCGUCGUCUGAGGACAUCUAGUAGGCGUACUACACCCGUAGAAGUUCAUGUGGCGAGGUCUUCGGACGCGGGUUCGAUUCCCGUCGCCUCCACCA
This 375-nucleotide transfer-messenger RNA is filed under the name Alicyclobacillaceae. Its description in RNAcentral is "SO9 sp016406125 Standard tmRNA". It matches the Rfam family "transfer-messenger RNA". Rfam says of the family: Bacterial tmRNA, also known as 10Sa RNA or SsrA, is named for its dual tRNA and mRNA-like properties. Its role is to liberate the mRNA from a stalled ribosome. The record is from RNAcentral. RNAcentral also lists the same sequence under 1 other name. Lineage: Bacteria; Bacillati; Bacillota; Bacilli; Caryophanales.